GAAAGAAUAGAAAGACUCUGUGAGAACCUACAGGUCAUGAUGGUGCCUGUACCCAGGCUCUGUAGGGCUGUUUACUCCAUUGUGAUGUCCUUGUUGAUAUGAUAGCAUUGAAAUUAUCUUCCAAAUUUGAGAACAUUCUGGACAAUUCUCCCCCGGAGUUUGCCGUGAGAGCUCUGGACAUCAAAAGAUGUACCUGUGAGCUCAGCAGUGAGGACCAGUUGGACCUGAUCUGCUGUGUCUUCCUUCACCAACCUGAUUUGUAGUAAAAGAGACCGUGAAGGCAAACAGGACAUUUUGGAGCCUACCCGAAUAUACUUUCCCUCUGUAACUGCAUCCAUCCUGCUGGCAGUGGGCAGCUCAAUCUUAAGGCUACAUCUUUUCAAGUGCAGUGAUUUGAAAACUGAAGUUGAUGUUUCUCCACUUGAUGGGCUUCUCUCUAAAUCAGACUAAUUAACUCCACUGCAGACUAACAACAAGGAAAUGGGCCCUGGAGCUUGGAAGGCAUG
Corapipo altera (White-ruffed manakin) is the source of this 506-nucleotide long non-coding RNA. RefSeq lists it as uncharacterized. NCBI's taxonomy places the organism in Eukaryota, Metazoa, Chordata, Aves, Passeriformes, Pipridae. The record is from RefSeq and is a predicted model, not a curated record. The transcript is spliced from 4 exons.